AGGUGAUUAGUCUAAGUAAAAUACUUGAUUUCGGCUCAAGAGUCUGUGGUUAAAGUCCACAAUUGCCUAAUGACCCCCA
RNAcentral lists this transfer RNA (79 nucleotides) under Gadus morhua (Atlantic cod). Its description in RNAcentral is "tRNA-Arg". The stretch from base 1 to 69 matches the Rfam family "tRNA". From Rfam's summary of the family: Transfer RNA (tRNA) molecules are approximately 80 nucleotides in length. The record is from RNAcentral. Lineage: Eukaryota; Metazoa; Chordata; Actinopteri; Gadiformes; Gadidae.